RNAcentral lists this long non-coding RNA (29642 nucleotides) under Cucumis sativus (cucumber). RNAcentral's name for it is "long non-coding RNA (CSAT_LNC000878)". Lineage: Eukaryota; Viridiplantae; Streptophyta; Magnoliopsida; Cucurbitales; Cucurbitaceae. The record is from RNAcentral.
GAGAGACUCUUAUCACCUUGGAUCGUAAUGAAGUUUUAAGAGUUCAAGUUAAACCCAUAAUGAAAUUUUAGGAAUCACAAUAGUUUAACAUUGGAUGGCAGAGCCACAGAGGAAGAGUAGUGUACAUCAAUCACAUUAUCAUAGAUUGAUUACGUUUCCUGUUGGGUUAAUCGUGACCAACAUUACCAAUUUGGAUGGGGUGGGGAGGAGAGAUAUUUUGGAAAGGCAUUUUUAUUAACAAAAUAAAAAAAAAGAAGAGAGGGAGAAAAAGGCAACUGAUAUUUUUUGUCUUUCCCCAAACCCUAUUGUGUUAUGAAAACACAAAAAAGCCAAACACAACCAUCGCCCCUUUUCGUUUACUGAAAACUCACUACAAACAAACAAACAGCACCAUAAAACCCAAAAGCAAAUAUUUCUUCCAAAUCAACAUCCGCCGGCUACUAAACACUUUAAGCAUCUGCAACUUCCGGUGACUCUCCCGCCGCCAGUAGCAACUCUUCCUCUUCAAGUCCAACCUUUCUUUCUCCCAUCUCUCCUUCAUCCCCAAUGCUGUUCGCCUCUCCCAAUGACUUUAGUGCCAAGUGUGCUGCCUUCUGCCCUGAUAUCAUCAUCGCCCCGAACGUUGGCCCCUAUGAAUGGCACAGUUUAAGACUAAUAAAUAUGGGUAUAACGAAAUCUUUCGGUGGUAGCAUCUAAUGCAGAUAGCUACCGGAGUAAACAAGUUAGUAGUGAUAGACCCAGAUAAACUCUGAAAAGUGUAAACUCAUCUAAAUGCUGCUAUAUUUUACUGUAUCAUGAUUAUUAAACGGUCUAAAGCAAUAAUCUCUCUCUAGUUAAUUUGUUUACCAUUCUUGGAGCUCCAUCGAUCUCCGCAACCUCCAUGCCGGUGACAAUCAUGCCAGGAACGACCUCUCGAGUGAAUCGAACAAUGGCAUCCUCAGCAGUGUUCAUGUCAAGGGCCUUCAUUCCCGGGACACUAUCAAUCAUGCCGAUGCUCUUGAGGCGCUUGACUCCGGUAGCGCCAAAAGGUCCAUCGUGGCCACAAGAGCUCACAACCACCUUAGCCUCCAUCACAUUGGGGUCCAUGCAGGACUGCGUGUCAUGGUUCAUUGACACAAGAGCCCAGUUGGUGACAACACCGCCAACUCUGCCGCCCUUGACAAUCAAAUCCUCUGCCGCCACGGCGUUGAACAGCUUCACGUUCGGCCGGGCCAAGAGCUUGCUCAUGAUCGUCGACGUGAACAGAGCCGCGUGCUUUAUCACGACAUAGUCGUCUUGCUCGUCAUACUCCACACCCACCUCAUCCAAGAACAAAUGAGCUGGCUUACGAACCACCUAUCAAACAUUAAAUUUAACCAACAUCAAUCAGAUGAACAAGAUCAGAAUAUUUGUCUGCGAUGAAAAUUAAUCUAAUUUUUUAGGGGAUCACAAGAUCUGUAAACUAUUUCCCCUCAAAUUAAUGAUUAUGAUAUUAGUUUCUGGGUUUCUUUAUUUCUGAUCUCUAUUAAAAAGAAAUGAUUUUUUUUAGUCCAAAUACGGCAUGCAUGAAAGCUGAUUGGGUGAUUUUCAAAAUUUUGGUAUUUUCAAGAAAAGAACAAAACAUAAAAUAAAAACAGAGCAUCCAUUCAAAUUUGGAAAGUGAACUUGUUACCAUAGCAGAGAAGAGUUGGCCGCCGAGCCAUGCACCGCCACCGGGGCUGACGGAUUGUUCGAUGAUGGCAAUACGAAUAUUGGGGUUUUUGCUGAGUUCGUAAGCGCAAGAGAGGCCGGCGGAGCCAGCGCCGACGAUGACAACGUCAGUAUCAGCGUAGGUGAUCAUAUCGGUCAUGUAUCGACGGGUCAUCUCUCGAGAGACAAUAGAUUCUCUGAUAGGGUUGAAUUUGAAUUGGUUUAAAUCGUAGGGAGGCUGAGAGGCGGAGGCAGAGAUGGUGAGGGACGUGGCGGCGGUGGAUUUGAGGCGGAGAGAAGAAGGAGAGGCGAGAGGUGUGCCAUGGAAAGAGGAAUCAUGAAGUAAAGAAGGUUUUUGGAGCUUGGUGGUGAGAGUGGAGGCAAUGGAAGCCAUUUUUGAAGCAGAGGAAAACAGAGGAGAUUGUAGUUUGGUGUGGGGAAGAAGAGGGGAAGGAAGAAGGGUUUUAUAGAGGAUAUUGAAGAAUGUAACAAUAUCUUACACGCUUGCAUGUAUGAUGCAUACAUUACCUAUGCAUGUAUUUCAAACAUUGAUGCAUAUAAUCGAGAUUUUCAUUUAUCCAUGUAUUUCUCUUUUUACUUUUUUUAACAUAUGAUAUAUUAAACAUAGGUUUAGCAAUAAGUAACUAAAAUUAGUGUUAUUGUAAUAAAAUUACAUUAAUUUUGAUCAUAUUUACUUACACAUUUUACAAAUGUCUUAUCCAAAUAGUUCACUUUAUGUUGUCUUCUUACUAUUGCUCUUAUUAUCAAGGGUCAACAUAUUUAUAAUUCUCUUCUUCUAAUAGUAACACCAUAAUAUCCCCUAAUGAGUUGCAUGUAAUUUCAAAUGCAUUUAGAGAUUGGUCAUCUUAUCUCUAUAAUUAGAUUGCAUUACAAAUUUGUUUGUGAGGACACCAUUUUUUCUACAAUUACAGAAUAAAUGUAAACAACAAACCUAAUUAAAUGAGACACCCUUUUCAAAUUCUCGUUUGAUUGGUUACAUUUUCCGAGUGUAUAGUCACUCUAAUUUUAUACUGUUGCAACCAAUCCAAAACCAAAUCAAAUUAAUUGACUUUAUUAAAUAGAGAACCAAAGAUGCCCAAUAGAAGAUAGAAUCUUUUUUUUUUUUUUUUUUUUUUUUUGGGUUUCUAACCAAUGGAGUCUUCUUUUCUUUCAACUUUUACUUUGAAUGGGUUACCUUUUUUUACCAUUUUUAUAGAUAAUUAUGAAAAAAGAAGUAUCCAUUGGCAUAAUAUUUGAGUUUAUUAUCACUACAGUUUUCAAGCGAUACGCUUUCUAUCCAAAUUGAAAUGGUUGGAUUUUGAUUGAUUUCUUGAUAAAAGUUCAAACCAAAAGAAUAAACUUUUUUAUUAUCUCUAAAUAAUAAAAAAAAAAAAACCCCAAUCAAAACAAGAAAUGAACUUGAUUGAAUUUGAAUUUGUUUUGUUUUUAUUUUCUUGAACUCGAGUGUAAGGAGUAUCCAAAAAUUAGGGUAAGAAAAGUUCAAAUAUUUGUUAAGUUGGGAAGAGAGAAAAUAUCUGGAAGGGGACACGUGGGAAGAAGAUAGGAAAUGAAGGGCUGAGAAUGAGGUGAUGGUGUUGGACACGCGGCAUCCAUGGCAGCCAUUUGUUAUUUCUUUUCUUUUUCUUUUGCCAAAAUGAGAUUUUUUUUUUUCUUUUUCCCAAUAAUAUGAUAUGUUUGUUGAUUUGCAAAAUAUGGAUUUGUGAUUGUGAAUCAUGAUAUGUCCGUUUCUUUCGUCAAGAUAUUUCACAUAAUCUUGUAAAAGAAAGAGAUGUUUAUAUAUAGGCCACUCAUUUUGCUUUUUACUCUUUAAACCAUUGCUACACAUUUUAAUGCGUCUUUUCAAAUAAUAAUAUUUAUGUUUAUUAAUCAUUGAUAUUUUUUUGUAUCUACUUUAAACAAGAUUAAGUAUAGAGAAAAUACAUUUACAUAAGGAAAUAUUUACAAAUUAGGAUCUAAAUGUAUUCUAUUUCCCUAAUUUAAACAACUAUAUAAUUUACGAUCACACUCUUUCUCAAACUCAAGGCGGUAAUGUAGCAAUCAACUUGAGUUUGUUAACCAAUUGAAGAAAAUGGCUAGAAGCCAAAGCUUUAAUGAAGAUAUCAACUGGUUGUUCAGUGUCGAAAUGGAGUGUAAGAGAAGAUUGGUGCUUCGAAGAUUAUGACAAACAAAAUGAUAAUCGUUUUUAAUAUGGUGGGUACUCUCGUGGAAGACAUCAUUGUGAACAAUAUGCAUGGUAUUAUAAUUAUGUCUUUAUACCCUUCUCUCGGCUCAAGCCUUUACCACACUCUUUUGUCAAGUUGCAGUUGUGCAGAGAAAUCUCAACGCACUUAGUAGUUACUAUGAAUUUCACUACGCAUAAUGUGUCUUCCAAUGCUAGAUCACAUAAAACGCAAAGGGUAUUCUAUACCAAAUCACAUAGUAGGUAUGAGAGACAUUUCAUACUAGAUCACACAACAAGUAUGAGUCAUCCUAUUCAAUAUCACACAAUAUGAAUAGGGCAUUAUACUCCAGAUCACACACUAGAAAUAGGGCAUCUCAUCUUAGAUCACACAGCAAGGACAAAACAUUCUAUCGCAUAGGGUACAAAAAUUAUCUUUUUCUAGGAAACAUUGAUUUCUCAUUUUCAUGUAAUACUAGCAUCAUCAAUAGCACAUGCCACAUAGUUUAACGUAAUUGCCUUAAAGGGACUUAAAGAGAUUGUUUUCAAGCAUUUCUUUUCAUUUGAAGGUUAUUCGAUAAGAUACUUUAUUAUGUACUCAAUCACCUUUUAUUAGUUUCAUAAUGAACCAAAUUCAUACAUAAGUCACACAUGUUUAUGGGAGUUGAAAAAGUAUAAGGAAAUCCAUGUAAACAAAUUUGUAAUAACGAUAGUUUUAAGGGUUCAAACAUAUUAGAAAUCCCUUUAUAUAUUUGAAAACAUUUGCAAGGGAGGAAAACCACUCACUGCUGCAGUGAGCUAGCUCUUCCUUCUAGCUUCCUUGACCAAGAGUUCUCCUGUGCUUUUCAGAUUCCUUGAAGGAAUGAGUUUUUCCUGCACCUUGAGACUUUGGUUAUCCUCCCCGUUCUCUCUUAAGAAACUUAAGGUAAAAACGUCUUCAGUUCGGUCUAAAAUCCUCAAUUUAUAUGUCUCUCUGGUGAAUUUUUUCAUGUCGAAAUGAUUACGCUUUACCGACGGUGAGGAGUGGCCUAAUCUCGAAAUGCCAUGUAUCUCUGUCCAAUCCUUAUCCUGAUCUAGAUUGGGUGGCGAGUCCAAUCAAUCAUCGACCUACUAACAUUAGGGUCACAUCACUGUUUCUUGAUGAGGUAGGUCAGAAUUGUCCAACUGUUCGACGCAUAACCUUCUUUGCAUGGGGACUUUCUAUUGCAUGAUCCUUUAGCGAGGCAUGGUUUACUAUCAGAAGUCUCUUUGCAAAACAUUCUUACCGCAAGGGAUUCCUUGUAUUGGGGGUACGCAAUCAGGGCCUUACACGCGAUUAGACAUUUUCCUUUAAAACACUAACCUUAUCUUCUUGGAGUGCUCAAUUCUUUAUCGCUUGACUCUCUUCUCGAAAAACAAUAGAACAUUUACUUUACCUCAUACGGUUGUCUAGUCAUCUCAUACAAACAUCCAUCCUUUCAAUAGAACACCUACUUCAUCGCAACAACACUUAGGUGCAAACACUUCUCCUCGAGUUACUACAUAGGACAUCUAGUUCUUUGCGUUAAAUGCAUGUUUCUUCUUUCCUAGCUAAUCAUCGCCUUGCUUCAAGGCAAUAGUUACUAUAAGUAUCUCUCGUUGUGUCACCUCUCCUUAAAGGCACCCUUCAUCGCAUAAUGCUUUUUACUUACAUUUAACUAAAAUGACUCUUAUUAACAGGGCUCCUCUUCAACAUGACUCACUUUCUCCAGAUUAGAGCCUCAAGUGGACUAUUGAGGUACUCUCAUAUCCGUAAGGAUCCAUGGAAGUCAUGAUAGUUAUAAAGUAGCAUUAGCAGAAGCCCAAUAUUAUGAUUUAGUGCUGGAAAAGAAGACAACAUUUUGCUUUUUACCCUACCAUGAUAUUAUGGGAUUACUUAAAUAGAAGGAAUAAAUGAUGGUGGAGUGUCGAUCAUUAGGAUCAUCAACCCAAUCAACAUCAAAGUACCCAGAUAACACCAGAGGUGUCGAGAAGAGAAAUGAAAUCUAUGUCUCAAAGUACCUUUGAGGUAGUGAAAAAUGUUCCAUCAACUUACUAACAAUGUGCACAACAUAUGCAACGUUAGGACGAAUCACUAUCAGAUAAAUGAGGAUGCCAAUAAGUUGCCUCUAAAGAUUGAUAUCAUCAAGAGGAAUACCCUCUUACGGUGUCAAGUGGACAUUGGGAUCAAGAAGUGUUGGUGUCUUGAUGGAGUAAAUGAUACGGAGCAGGCUAAUAGAUCAGAGACAUUUGGCUUGAGAAAACAAGUAACCAUCAAGACAUGUUGAUACCUCAAAAACAAGAAAGUAAUUAAGAGAGUUUAAGUCUUUCAUUUGAAUAACUAAGAUCAUGAUAUCUACCGUUGCAACACUAAGAUAGCCCGAGGAUCAUCACCACUGAUAAUCUUGUCCAAUACCAUGAAGAAAAAUUAGAGAAUUUAUGACGGAAGAGUUUACAAGUUUUUUUUUACAAAAUGUAGUUCCAAAUUAUUGUAUGAAUAAGUGCUUGCGAAAAGAACUUCUAAUUUUUUGGAGGGAAAGCCGUUUUCUUCAAAUAAGAUGUCUUGAAACUUGUGGUUUGUUAACAACAAACAUAUUAUAUUUACAUAGUAAAGUUUUUAAAAGGUUAUUAAAUAAAAUUGUUAUUGAACAUGAAUGAAUUGCUUAUUUCAUAAUAGAAAACCAUAAAUCUAAUAAACUAAGAUCUAUGGUUAUGAGUACGAGUACUUGAACUUUAUGUAAUAAUGUAAGAAACUCCCAAUGAAGUGAGAACUAUGUUGGGUGUUGGCCUCAUCUUCUAACGGGAGAAGUCGUCCAGAAAUGGAUUGUGAAAUUUGUGAUGGAGACAACUCCCAAUGAGCCAAAGGAUGCCAUUGGGAACUCGUCCCAACCCUCGACGACAUUCAUUAAUAAGGCGAAGAUGAUAUGAACUGAUUUUGGCUUGAUCCAGGUAGGUCCAAAAUGCUAGAUAUUUAUUAAUUGAUUAACUAGUUUCUUGAUUGAGUCUAAUGAGUACUGUGUAACUAAUAGUAAUAGUAAUGAACCAAUCCUAUAGAUUAAAAUCAAGUAGGUUUUGCAUGAAAAUCCCAUAAUUUUAUAACAUUAUCAAAAGCUUUGAGUUGAAAAUGGAUAGUAGGAAUAGAUAUGUUAUCAAUCCAAGUGAUAAUUUGGUGAUUCUUACUGUCUCAAUCUUUUCGUCAUUUAACAAACAUACUAUCAUCUUUCUUGUCCAAUGUAGUUUGUUUAGCAACAUCACCAAUGAAAAUUUUCCGUAGUCUAUGUUCAAUUAAAAAAAAUUCGUUUGAUGGGUUCAUGCAUUUAAGAUAAUUGGUCCCAUCAACAACAGUACUAAUAGAACAAAAAAUGUGAUUUUUUUCAUUAAGGACUGAACAUAAAUUAACCACCAAAAUACACAACAAGAUUGAAAACAAACAAAUCUAAGUUAAAUCACAACGAGCAGAGACUAAAGUGCCAAUGAUCAGAAUAGGUGCAGGACCAGUUAGAAGCUGGAAUGAGUAGACGUAGAAUAUGUUUAGAUAGUUAUGAUAUAUUAUUUAAUUUAAACACCAGGUGUUUGUGAUUAUAUUUAUUUUUUCACUGAAAAGACACCAUCAUAUGAUUGGAGAUAUUUUCUUUUCACUUAUAUACAAUCAAUUAAUGAAUGAAAAAUAUGGUGUUAAUUAACAAGGUAUUAGUUGUGAAGUAUUAAAUAAUGGUAAAAAUUGAAACAAAUUUGUUUUGUAUUUUGGUAGAAGAGAUAUUAUUAAAUUGAGAAGGGGUAUAUCUGCUAUCACAGUCAUGAAAAAGAGAGAAAUUAAAGUGGCGAUGGGUAGCUACAUCACAUCUCAACUUGCUCCCCUCCAUCCACUAUUUUUCGUCUUCUUUCUUCUUCGACGUGAGGAUGAACUAUCAUUGGAUUUAGAGGUGGUCCAUACAACUUCAAGAUUUUUUUGGUACCAAAAUCACUUUAUAAAUUAUAGUCUAAACCAUGUUACUCUACUUUUUUUUUUUUUUCUAACAUCUCCCUCCUUUCAACAAUAUUUUUAUUGUAUCUUACAAAAAUAUAGAAGAAUAAAAUAUCACUAAUCUACUUACAAUAUAAAUAUAAUAGACAAUAGAUAUGUAACGAAAUAUUUAUGGAGAAUUAUUGUCAAUUGCAAACGUUGUGAAAAUAUUUAGAAAGUUUAGCAAGAUCUAUAUGUGAGAUUUUUCUAUAUUUUUUAAGUAUUUUUAUUUAUUUUGCUAUAUUUGAAAUGAAUACAAGGUUUAUUUAGUGAUUUAAAUUAAAUUUUUUUAUUUUUAUAGUUUUUCUAGAAAUGUUCAACCAUAUAGACUAAAUUUAUGUAAAAUUAGCACUUUCAUAUUUUUGUAGAUAUCAACAUUUUAAUCCUUCAUUUUAAGCAUGAGAUUUAACUAAUCAUGUAUCUAUAUUUUAUUAUUUUAUGUUCUAUUUUAGAUUUGUACUCUCUUCUGCAUUUUCAAUAAAUCAUAAAUUAGUCCUAGUUUACUAUAGUAAAGCUAAUUUUUUUAAAAAAUAAUAUAGCAAAAAAAAAUUCUCUAACCAAUGCAAAAAAAUCCAAAAUAUCUAGCUUACUUCUCUCAACCAUGAUCAUUGUCAAUACCUAAUAGACAUUGAUAGUCUAUUAUUACUAUUUAUGAUAGUCUAUUACUCUAGAGUGUCUAUAACUGAAUAGUUGGUUGUUAAUAAGAAAGUUGAUGAUGAUUGUUCUUAAUCUUAUGCUCCUUAAUUUGGUUUUAAGGAAUUAGUUGUCAUUUAAUAUUUAUUGAAAAUAUAUAUUGUUAUUGGGAGAGAGCAAUUUUGAAAGUAUUCUCUAGACUUAAGCAUAUUAAUUUCUUCUUACUCGAAAAGAUAAAAGAAAACAUGUGUAUUUGAAUUAUCUUAAAAACAUUAAGAUCUAGGGAUUAAAAGAAUGCAAGAGCUUGCAUUGAUGGUGGUACACAUGUGUUCCCUACACCUCAAAAUCAACCAUCAUCUCAAGUAGCUCAAAAGGAAAUUAAAGGUCGAAGCUAUAGAGUAGCAAGAAGGAGCUGAGUAUUAAAUCAUUUUGGGUUGUAUAUAUACAUAAUAGAAAUCACUCCAACUCAAUUCAGAAGACGUUUGAAACCAAGAAUUUCUAACCUAAAUUUCAUUAGCUUAUUUGACAUCAUUAGUCCGCCAUCUAAAGUCAUGGCUUAUUCAUCUAUAAAUAUAAGCUACCUACAACUUUUGAGUUGUAUAACAAAAUUUUAAGAGAUUAAGGGAUCAAGUUUAGAGAUUAAAAUUGAAUAUUUUUUAAAGUUUAGAGACCAAACUAAAAUAAGAUUCAAAGUUCAAUAGGGGAAUAUCAAAUUUAAACCAAACUAAAUACGUUUUUUACAUACUGAUUUGUAUUUAUUUUUUAAAUAACCAAAACAUUUUCAUAGUGGGUUUGAUGUAAACCAAAUUGGAGAGUUUUACUAAUGUUUAAAAGUUGUUAAUAUAAGAAGAAAAGUACUCUAUUUAUAGCAAACUGUUAAAUGAAAAUUUUGAGUAAACAAGUAUUUACUAUUAUUUUAUUCAACACAUACAUUUCCACAUUGCUAAGAAGUCUCCUUUAUAAACUCAUAGAUCCGCUCAUGGGUUUGGGCCCUAAAGACACUCAAGUUUUGGAAGGAGUGAGUAGAUAGUUAAAUGUAGAUAUGCUUAUAUCUCCACGUGCACCACCACUGCCGUCUGUCGAGUGAGGCGAGGAGGAAUAAAAUAAUAAUAUAUAUAAUUUUUGGUAAAUUAAACACUUUCCAAAGUCGAAAUAAUAUCCAAAUUAAAUGGUAUUUAUCAAUCAAUUUUCUUUUGUGUUUUAUAACCAUUGGUUGCCUCCACACUCACUAUAUAUAUCAAUCUAAUUCUUCUCUUCAAUAUACAGAAAUUAUAUAUAUUAAUGAUGAAUUGGACUCUCUUGAAUUCAAUAGAACUUGGCACCUAGUUGACUUACCUGACCUUAGCUGCAAAGCAAUAGACUGUAAAUGGAUUUUAAGGAAGAAACUCAAACCUGAUAGAUCAAUAUAUAAGUAUAAGGCUAGACUAGUAGCAAAAGGUUUUAGGCAGAGGAAAAACAUAGAUUUCUUUGACACCUUCUCUCCAACCACUGAUUUCUAUAGUUUUCAUUAACAAUCUCUUAAUACAUCAAAUGGAUGUUAAAAACUGCUUUCCCUAAAUGAUGAUUUAGAAGAAGAGAUUUAUAUGGAACAACCUUAAGAUUUCAUAGUUCACCGUUAAGAAUCUAAAGUUUAUAAAUUAGAUAAAUCCUUCUAUGGCCUAAAACAAGCUCCUACGCAAUGACACGAAAAGUUUGACAACUUAAUCAUUUCCAAAGGAUUCAAAAAAAUGAGAGUGACAAAUGUAUUUACUAUACGACUGAAGAUAGAUUAUGCACUAUCAUAUACUUAUACGUAGAUGACAUGUUAAUAUUUGGAUCAAACCUACACGUCAUAAAUUAUGUAAAAUCAAUGUUGAGCACAAACUUUGACAUGAAAGACUUAUAAGAAGAUAAUGUGAUCCUAGACAUCAAAAUUACCAUAACUAAAAAUGAAAUGUUCUUAGAUCAAUCUUAUUACAUAAAAAAGAUCCUAAAGAAGUACAAAUACUUCGAAAGCAAACCAGCUUGUACACCCUAUGACUCUAGUGUUAAAUUGUUCAAAAACACUGCUGGCAGUGUUAACCUAUCAGAGUACGCUAGUAUCAUAGGUAGUUUGAGGUAUGCUGUUGAUUGCACUAGACCAUACGUAACUUACGCUGUAGGAUUACUAUGUAGGUUUACCAGCAAAUCUAGUCUAGAACAUUGGAAUGCUAUAGAAAGAGUAAUGAGAUAUCUUAAGAAAAUACAAAAUAUAAGAUUACAUUAUCAAAAGUUUCCCGCUAUACUUGAAGGUUACAACAAUGUUGAUUGAAACUUUCUCUUAGAUGACUCAAAGGGUACAAGUGGCUAUAUUUUUAAUAUAGCAGGAGAAACUGUUGCUUGAAAAUCCAAGAAACAAACAAUAUUAGCCUAGUCAACGAUAAAGUUAGAGAUGAUAGAACUAGCUACUGCUAGUGAAGGAGCAAACUUGCUAUAAGAGAUUCCCACACGGGAAAGAUUGGUACCGGCAAUACUAAUCCAUUGUGAUAGUACUACAACUAUCGCAAAAGUUCAGAAUCAUUAUUAUAACAGUAAGAGACGACAUAUACGUCGUAAACACAUUAUCAUUAGAGAUUUUCUCACUACUGGUGCAGUGAUAAUAGAUUAUGUUCGAUCUGAUGACAACUUGGCUGAUUCUUUGACGAAAGGACUAGCAAGAGAGAAGGUCUUUAAAACGUCAGAAAGAAUGAGACUCAAAAUUUAUAGAAAAUUUAAUUACUUGUGAGGUAAACCCAACUUGAAAGACUGAUCCCAAGAAACAAGUUUAAUGGGUAAUAACUGAUCACAAGCAAUAUGAUGAAAAUCAUGCUAAAAUAUUAGAAGUUCCAUUCUUAUGAUUGAAUAAUUAGCAUGACAUCCUGAAGUGUAUGAGAAGGCUAAACUUUGUUCUUAAUGAAAUAUAUACUUGAUAUCAAGUAAGGUACCUAGCUACAUAAGUACUCUUGAUAGCUUCACCUUUGUGAAUGUGGAAGUGAGAGUUGCUUCCUUUGGAAUUUUGGACAAAUUCCUAGAACAUUCACUAAACCGGGUUAUACGUGCAAGGCCAUAAAUCACAAGCUAUUUUAGAACUUCACUCGAAUAAUGUUGUGUGGACAAUAGUAUUAGAAGUAAAGUUCAAAACUACAAGUUACUUUACAAUACUCUAAACUGUUGUCACUACUUAAAGGUUCAAGUCAUUAGACACCUUUACUUAAGCACAAUAUUAUAGAGAUAGACACUGAUCGAUGGAAACGUUUUAAAACAAUUUCAAGUGGGGGACUGAUAGUAUGAAUAUUUCAAGUGGAAAAUUGUUAAAUGAAAAUUUUGAGUAAGCAAAUAUUUAUUAUUAAUUUAUUCAACACAUGCAUUCCUGCUAGUAAUGUGGAUGUCUACUUUGUAAACUCAUAGAUCCAUUUAUGGGUUUAGACCCUAAGGGCACCCAAGUUUUGGAAGGGGUGAGGAGAUAGGAAAAUAUAGAUAUACUUAUAUCUCCACGUAUGCGCACCCCGCCAUUGUUGGGUGUGGAGGAAUAAUAUAAUAAUAAUAUAUACUUUUUCUAAACUGUUUUCUUAUUAUAAACAUUUUUGGUAAAUUAAACACUUUCUAAAACUGAAACCGUAUUCAAAUUAAAUGGUAUUUAUCAAUCAAUUUUAUUUUGUGUUUUAUGAUCGUUGGUUGCCUCCAAAUUUACUAUAUAUAUGAGUCUCAUUCUUCUCUUCAAUAUACAGAAACGAUUUCUCUCCCAAAAAAUUUCUUCUGAGCAUAUGAGUGUUUAUCUGAGUGUUGUGAAUUCUGAUUAGUUUUGAUAUAAAACUAAUUGAAGAACGAUGUAUUUUAUCAUGGGGACGUCGAGGCAAUCAAACUGUUUUGGACAAAGGAGCAGAGACGCAAAACGUCUUAAAGAGAGCGAGAUUCGCGACUCAACCAUUUUCUCAAAAGUUUUUGUUUUGUAGUUUGCGUUUUGACCAAGCGUUUGACCACUAGGCGUUUUGAUCAAUUGGCGAGAUAGUCAGUAAGCGAGAUAAGUUGAGGAGGUGAUAACUAGGCGACUUGGUCAGACGAGAUACCAGUACAUUACACGAGAUACAAGGCAAAGAAGCACGCAUUUUGUCUAGACAUUUUGCCUAGGCGUUAAGACUUCUCAUUGCAUCACUCCUUCGAGUCAAAAAGCAACAACACAAACUAAUCCUAAUCCUAAUUAAUAAAAGAAACUAAUCUUUAAUCCUAAUAAAUAAAAGAAACUAAGCCUAAUCCUAAUAGAUUAAGGAUUUUAUCAUAAUAUCCUAUUCCUACUACAUCAUUCUAUAAAAAAAAAAACUCGUCCUUAAGUUUUAAAAUGAAAAUGAAUGUGAAAAUAAUAAGUAAACUAGUCGAAUAAUAUCCCAAUUUUGUGAUACCUAACAAUCAAUUCUAGAACUAAUACGAUAAAGAAGAACUCCAUUGUCAAAGAAUAUGCAGAUUUAUCAAAAAAAUAAACUAUCACUCAUUUUGUAACUGUGAUGAAAGUUCAAUUGUGGUUGAGUUUUUAAUUCUUCAAUAGGUUUCAAUUUGGGUCAAAUAGAUUAUAGUAAGAGAUAACGCGUAAAUAGCAAAAUAGUAAAUAACAAACUAAAAUGUAGCAAAUUUAAGAAAUAUUAAGAUUUAUAUCAAAAACGCCGGUUGCUGAUUUUUUUUUUUUUACUUUUUUAUACCCAAUUAUACUCUUUUAUAUAAGACAGUUUAUUUCUCACAUAUAUACAAUGUAUUUGAAUAGAUCAAAAAAUGAGACAGAAGAUCACAGAUUCACUAGCACAAUGUAUUUGUUAACAACAUUCAACUUUGGUAAGUCUUAACUAAAUAUGAUAUUUUAUUGCUGAAGAAGAUUGCACUAACAUCUCUUAAAAAAUAUGGCUGUAAUUUCUUUUAGAUUUUCGGAUGCUUAGCAUUUAAAUCAAUCAAUUAACAAUUUAUUUCUAUAAUUCAUAAUAGAUAUAUUUAAUAACGAUUUGAAUUCAAAUUUUGGAUAAUACCCCUAAAAUAAUAGUAAAGAUAAAUUCAAUAAUUUGGAUUCUUUAUAUUUCAUACUAUUUAUCAAAAUUUUAUUAAAUAAUAUAUAAUACAUAUUUUUAAUAACAAUUUAAAUUCAGAUUUUAUACCAUCCGCUAAAAUUGUCAAUUUGAAUUUAAAUGUUACAUAAUAUCCCUAAAAUAUUGGCGAGGAAAAAUUCUUAAUAACAAUUUGAAUUUAAAAAUUAAAAUUAAAAUUGUUUAAUUUAAAAUUUAACAACUUAUAUUUAAAAAAAUAUAUAAAACAUUUAUUAAAUAAUACAUGAUACAUAUUUUUAAGGGGAAUUUUUAAAAUAGUAGAUUUUACAAAAUAUUUACAGCUAUAGAAAAUUAUAAUUCUAUCACUCAUAGUCAUUUACAAAAUUUUGUUAUAGCUCAUAAAUAUUUUAAUUUAUUUUGUUAUUUUAAAAAAUGCUUCUAUUUUUAAUAAUAGUUUGAAUUUUAAAAAAAUUAUUCGUGAUAAUUUCUAUUAUCAACUUAUUUUGGUUGAUUUUUAAUAACAAUUUAAAUUUAAAUUUUACAUCAACCCUCUAAAAUAAUGUAAAAAAUGAAUACACCAUUUUUAGGAUUUUUAUAUUCCAAACAAUUUAAUAAUAUUUUAAAUUCAAAUUUUAGAUCCCAAAAUAAUGCCAAUUACGAUUGUCCAUUUAUUUUUACCAAUUUGAUAACAACUUCAAUUUUCUUAAUUUAACCAAAUCAAUUUAAUUUAUUUUUACCAAUUUGAUAAGAACUUCAAUUUUCUUAAUUUAACCAAAUUGAUUUAUUGGUUAAGUUGGUCAGGUUUGAUUGUGUUGAUUUUCUAUAGAGUUACAAUGUACUUAUACAUACUUUCUAGAUUAGUUUCACAAUAUUUGACAUAAUGUAUAGCAUAUGUUGCUCACAAAAUUACAAUGUAAUUUUAUGCUUUUAAAUAAUGUGAUAAACUAGUCGUUCUAUAUUACGAUCACAUGUUCAAAUAUUAAUAUUUAUUUGCUCCUAUAAUAAUGUACUUUUGCAAUUCAAAACAGUUACCAUUAUAAUAAUGUACUUUUAAUUAAUGCGAUAAACUAGUCGUUCUAUAUCACGAUCACACGUUCAAAUAUUAAUAUUUAUUUGCUCCUAUAACCAUGUACUUUUGCAAUCCAAAAAAGUUACCAUUAAGAUAAUUUGUUACAAAACCAACAAUAAGAACUAUUUCCUAAAUAUUGACAUUGAAUCAUAAUCAUGGUUGUUUAAUUAACCGAACUUUAUAAUAACCCAUAGAAUUAAGAUUUUCCAAACAUAGUAUAUGUUGAGUAUGAAUGAUGUUAUAAACAACAAACUUGGGACACAAACAAAAAGUAAAAUUUUGGUCAUCAAGAUAUAGUAUCAUUCCAUUGGGUAUAAGAUAAUCAGAUAUUUCAAAUAGAGUGUAUUUGAAUAGCUCAAAAAAAGAGACAGGAUAUUAAAAAUAGCACGAAAACAAUGUAUUUUGCAAACAACAUUCAAAUUUGGUAGACUUAACUAAAUCUGUUAUUUUGUUGCUCGACAAGAUUGCAGCAACCUCUCCUAUAAUAAUGACAAAUAUAUCUACCAGAUUUUGAGGUUUGUUAUAUUUUAAACCAUUUAUUAGUAAUAUCAGUAAUUAUUACAAUUUCUUAAAUGACCUUAAAUAUAUUUUUUCCUCUCCCUUGUUUCUUUACCAAUUCAUUAAGCAUUAUAUCUUGUAAGUUAAUCACUAAGGAUAGUUUAAUUUUAACAAAUCACCAAUCUUAAAGACAUUUAAGUUGAAAAAUAAAUACUUCCAAAAUAUGUGUUGUUAAUAACAAUUUGAAUUUAAAAUUUUAUCAACCUUAAAUUCGUGGUUGAUGUCCCAAAAUAAUGGAAAACAUAAAUUCAACAUUUUUGGAUUAUUUAUAUUUUAAAAUAUUUAUAAAAAUUUGAAUUUAAAUACCUCAACAAUACAUAUUGUUAAUAACAAUUUGAAUUUAAAAUUUUAUGAUCCCCUAAAAUCAUGCUAAUUGGUUGGUUUUUAUUUUAAAAAACUAUUUUAUCGUGCAAAUUGCAUUGAAUAACUAUGUUGAGACAUUGUGUUUUUAAAUUACGUUAAUAUUCAUGUUUAUCUUCGUUAGAUGUUUUCUUUUUUGUGUUACAGUUUUUGUCAAAAGCUUUCAAAAUGGCUUUUAUGUUUAGGACAGAAUUGUAAUUAUACUUCAUCUCCUUCUUUAGGUCUUAUAAAUUAGAGAAAAGAAAAGAAGUAGGACAAAUAAGAAGAGGGGGCUGCAAGCUAAAAAAACACAGUAGAGAGAGUUUUUUCUAGCAAAAAAGAUUGAUAGAGAAGAGUGCAGUGCGGCGAUUUUCGGUGUUCCAACAUAAAGAGAGACGUUGGUCGACCGAGAGGAAGACGUCAGAGGUUUAGCCAUUGGGUUUUGAGGCAGACAAAAGCUAACGAUUUUGUGGCUUUACAACGGCUACAACGUUUGUUUCGAUAGCUUCGCGAUGGGUUUAACGACUGGUUAACUAUGGUUUUCGAGCUGACAGAGGUUGGUUUAGUCGUGGGUUCUUCUUGGGGCAAUCGACGCAAGUGACAAACAUAGUGAGAGAGAGUUUUUGUGCAAACAAGAGAGGAGAAAAGUACAAUCAACAAAGAGGAAAACAUCACAGUUUCAACGUCAAUGGCGAGAUGAACAUCUCAAAGUCUUUGGUCGGAGGAGGCGGCAAGAUGAAAAUCCUAAAGUCUCCAGUCAGAGGAGCCAACAAGAAGAAAAUCCAAGUAUGAAAACUUUGAUGGGUUUAAAGGAGACGAGUUGGAAGCUCCAAUAGAUUUUGAAAAAGUUUGAUUUUGAUAGGUGUUAAUUGUGUAUUGGGAGUUUGAUUUUAAUAAUUGGGUAUUUAUGGUUCUUUUAAUAAUUGUAUUUAUGAUUCAAUUUUUUCAGUUAGGUAGGAGCACUCGAGACAUUGUUAUAGCAAUUAUUUUUCCAUAUUUUUUCGAUUCGGUUAUUUUAUCAAUUUAAAUAAAAAUUUGUCAUUUAUUCAAAAUAAACCCAAUAUUUUUCUAUUUUUCUGGUCCGCCCUUGUAGUAAUAUUGAGUGGACUUCAAAAUUGAUCUAGGUUUGGAGAUGAUAGGUUGAGCUUGAGAAGACCAAAAUUUUGUUUGGAAUAAAUUGGAUCAUCUGGGUUGGGUUAAGUGAAGGAAAACUGCAGCUGAUGGAUGGAUUAUAUAUGAAACACAGUACAAUAAAUUCUCGAUCUUCCACCGCUAGUUUUAAAUCGUCAGAAGAAAUGGCAUCAGAGAUGUGGUAUCGUCCAACGCACCACCCUAACAUGCCUAAAUUACAAACUACUAGUUCACAUGCCUAAAUUACAUCACAAAAGAAAUAGAAAUAAUAAAUAUACGAAAGGCCAUUAAUUACAAAGAAUAAUAUACAGAUUAUUUUCAUAUAUAUAUGAAAAUAUUUUCCAAUAUCCCCACAAAUUGGUGAUUUGGUUUCUUUGUACGGUUGAACCAUUCUUGCCCCAUGUAGCUUAAUGUUAGACCGUCAAAUCUUUUGUUAGGAUUCCAACCUACCCAGAGGUACUCAAGAAUAAACAGACAGCUCAAGAACAACUAAUUAUGAAAAAAUAUUGUUAGAACUGAUGUCCAAAAGAAUUGUUGUUCCGUGACAAACCACUGUUCUAAAAACAAUUACGGUACAACCAUGGUACUAAACACGAUGUCGGUUGCUUUUCAAGGUUAACACAACUCUUCAACUUAAACGUAUACUUGUUGGAAUAAGGAAUAGAAUCAAGAAGCUAAAUUAUGCCAAGGGAUGAAAGUUGAGAUGAACCGACGAUAAUAAAAGGAGAAAAAAAGAAACGACUAGAAUAAUCCUAUAGAUAUGAUAAACAAAAAACAAAAAGGAGAAUAAUCCUAUCACUAGAAACACACUUUACUUUUACAAUUAGCAUGCAGUGAUAUUUAUACCCUCUACGUAGUACUAAACAGUUCAAUGUGUGGGACAAAAAUCUGUCUUAUCCUUUACUUAUGGGCAUAAGUCCAUAAAUCAUUUCAAUAAAUGCCCGCCAAGUGACUAUUACAACAACGUUAAGAAGUAAACAAAAGAAAACAAAAGUUUUAAGAAAUCUAUUCUGAGCUAAGAUAGGAGAUCAAGAUUAUGCAUCAAUAUAUUGUAAUGAUUUGAAUUGAUUGGUAGUGUUGCAAGACGACUAACAGAGCGAGUGAGUUACAAAGCAAGAUCUCAAAAUUGGGCAGCGAUCCUUCUCAUGCGUUUAAAACACGGGACUCAACUACUAUCUUCCUUGGACUCACAAAUGUCUUCUCUUCAGCCUUGACCCGAAUUGGGGCUUCAACUUCCACUCUUAGACUCUGCCCAAUAAGCAAACCCAUGAGUCCCCAUUUUUCCUUCUUCAUUUCCAUUGACGUUGUUCUUCUGUAAUGAUUAUAGCAACCUUUGCUUAAUUCACCUCCUCUGCCCAUAUAUAAGAUAAUAAGUUUAACAACCCCUUUUAACUUAGCUUGCCCCAAAUGAAAAACUCUUCAAAUAUUAAUCCUAUAAAUCACUAUCUUUCUUAAAUGAAAGAGUGGGAUUCCAGCAAUUCAAGCCUAUAACCCAGCAUGUGGCUAUGGGCCCAUAAUUUAUUUGUCUUCCUUAAAGAGUAACAUUGAGUUUCUACAAAUUGUAGUCCAUAUUCAAGCCCAACAUCCUACUCAAUUUUUCCUUUCCAUAUUCCUCCUCCAAAGUAACGCUUGUCCUCCCUCCCAUUUACAUUUUACUAAGUAAUAACCCACCUUUGGCUGCAUCAAAAUAGAAUAAUGGGCUGUGUUGUGAUUCUGUGAAGUUAAAUUCAACUCUCCCGCAAGCCCUUCGCAUUUGUUAAAACAAUAAAAAAAUUAGUUGUUUUUGUUACUUUGAACUACUGUAACUGAUACUUGUUUGAGAGUGAGUUAUUUUGUUAAAAACAUAAACAAAAUAACAGUUUUAAUUCUUGUAGCUUAAAAAGGAAGCUUAGUAGAAAAAGUGAUGUAAGAAAAACUCAUCUGUAUUUUUUUGGCUUUUUGAAAACAUUUUCAUCUUAAAUAAUCUGUUGAAUAAAAGUGUGCUUGGAGACUUUGAAGAGUUCAUGUAAGCAAAUUUGUUGAACAAACCAUAGUUGUAUGUUCUUCUCAUUCUCUUCGUGCUCCAUUGAUCUUUGGAAGGCCAUUGUUGAAACUCUCAUCCAUCUUUUCUCUCUUGGUAACAUGCAAAACAAAAGGAAGAAAAUAAUUAAUAUACCUAAAGGUAGAGAACGUAGGUUUUGUAAUAAGGGUCAACCAUAAGAAUAUCAAUCUACAAUUUGUCAUUUAGAAAAAUAGCAAAACUGUUUUUUUUUUUCUUUUAAAAAAGGGCAAAACGAAUAAAAAUACAAUAAAUAGAAAUAUAAUCCAAAAUGCCCUUAGAUAUAUAGAAUGCCAGCUACUUUCUAAAGCUAAAAUAAAGUCUAAUUACACUAAUAAAUUCUCGAACAUAAUUAUCCUUACAUGUCCAAUCAAACUUAGAAUCCUUUUAAUCUUCACUUUCUAGCACUCUUGCAGUCAUCUUCAUUUUCCAUUUUCUUUUUCGAUAAUUAUUCAUAUCAAAGUCUUCAAGUUACAUAUUUAAUCUUCAAAUUACAAUUCCAUUAUUCCAUCUUCACCAAGCAGGCAAAACCUAAUCUCCACCCUCCAUUUUGCAAGUUACAAUUCCAUUUGAAGUACUUCAUCCUGCAUUUUUAUCUUCUUGUAUUUAAAACAUAAGAUUUUAUUAACUUCAUAUUUUUCACCAUCUUAAGGAAAAAUAUUUAAUUUAUAUUAGUAAUAUUUUAUAUAGAUUUUAGAGCGGUUUUAUCUAAAAAACGCAACAUUUUUGGGAUAUUUUGUUGGGAUAAAAAAAUAGAAUAAACCAAAAUUCAUUUAAAAAUCCUGAACAAUAGUGUUCUCUAAUAUUGAUUUGAGGUCAAGAUACCAUCCAUUCAAGGUUUGGGAAGUAUAUACUCUUAAGACAACAUUCAAAACGAGGUAUGGGCAAUAUGAGUUUUUAGUGAUGCCAUUCGAUUUAACAAAUGCACCUACAGUUUUCAUAGACCUCAUGAACAAUAUUUUCCAUCAUUAUUUAGAUUAGUUUGUGAUAGUGUUCAUUGAUGAUAUAUUAGUUUACUCAAUUGAUAGGAAAGUCCAUUAGGAAAAUAUGAGGAUUGUUCGAUAGACAUCACGUGAUAAAUAGUUGUAGGCUAAGUUCAACAAAUGUGAGUUCUGGUUGAAACAAGUAGUGCUCUUAGGGCAUGAAGUUUCAACAAACGAAGUUAGUGUUGAUUCGUAGAAAGUGAAAGAUGUUGUCAACUGAGAGAGACGAACUAGUGCAACAGAAGUACAUAGUUUCCUAGGCCUUGCAGGAUACUACAACCAUUUUAUUGAGGAUUUCUCACCAUUUGCAUUACUCUUAACAACUUUGACAAGAAGAAUGCUAAGUUUGAGUGGUCGGAUAAUAUGAGACUUUCCUUUGACAAAUAAUCUCAUCUCCACUAUGUUGAUCUUUUUUAGAUGAACUGUGAGCUUCCUCUGGUACAACAUCCAUAAGCUCACUAAUACUCGAAACACACAGUCUUCUUUUCUUAACUAUGACUUCAUAUAUUCUCAACUCAAACUCUACCUCUGAGCCUUACUUUCAUGACUUUCCAAGUAUAUUAUGUAAGUUACUAUCCUCUAGUUAUCUUCUCACAAUCUCUACUACUAGAGAAGACCUAACCUGAAAUUAAGCUACAAGACUCAUUGUACUCUCUACAGUCAUAGCCCUAUUAAAGCCUCUUAACUCACUUAUCAAACUUGCUCGAAUGCCAUACAAGGCACUCUUUGGAAGUCUAGACUUCAUAUUGAAUGCAUUUGCUACUAUGUUAUUCUAUGGUAUUCUAUGGUACAGUCACAACUUAUAAUCAGUUCUAGCCAUCACCUCUAUCUUAAAUUAAACUCUUUGAUCAAAGAUAUACUUCAGACUCUUACCGAUAUGUAAAAAUGUGGCACACUUCUCAUCGAAUAAAUAAUUUCUCUAGAUUUUCAUUGCUAAAACAACUAGUGCUAGCUCAAGAUCAUGGUUAGGGUAAUUAUAUUCAUUGUUCUUCAACUGUCUUGAAGCUUAGCUAUUAACUUCCCUUCCUACAUAAGGGUAUAACCUAAUCCUUGGGCUCGAGGCGUCACAAUAGAUCAUGUACUCCUUCUCUAUUUCAUGAAGUGUCAUAAUAGAUGCUAUGACUUGAAUCUCUAUCAAAACAAGGCAUCCUACCUGAUGAAACCAGUAAGAAGCUGUCUUUUUGUAAACAUUGUGUGUUAGGGUGAAAGCAAGAAAAAAAUACUUCUCCAAAGCCCAACACACUACUAAAGGAAUCCUUGACUUCAUCCAUUUGGAUCUAUGAAGACUAUCCUCAACUCCAAGCCUAGGUGGCUCAAGGUACAUUUUAUCCUUUACUGGUGAUUUCUUUAGAAAAAGUUGGAUUUAUUUUCGAAAAACUAAAAACGAAGUCUUGAAAAAAAAAAUUAAAAUGGAAAUUGAUGAGAGGAAAACAAAAAGAAAAAGAUAUUAAAUAUCCUAGAACCUAUGAUGGUUUGGAGUUUUGUGGAGAGGAUUUCAGUGCUUUUUGUAUGAAAAAUGGAAUUACAAAACUUAAGACAAUAAGAUACACACCACAACAAAAUGGGGUGGUCAAAAUACUUACAAGAACUAUCGUGGAAAGAGUAACAUUCCCAUUAUCUGUUUCCUGUUUCCUAUUUCCUAUUUCUUGUUUCCUAUUUCUUGUUCCAUGUUUCUUCUUUUUUGAUAACAAGAUACAAGAAUGUGUUUGAUAACUAUUUCUUGUUUCCAGUUUCUUAUUUCUUGUUUUCUUAAUUAUUUCCUACAUUUGUCGACUCACAUCUAAUUCAAUUAAAUAUUAACAAAAAUAUAUGUCGAUAGUUAAACACUUCUUCUCUACCUUGAGGGCAAUGUCUCAUUUCUUUAAAAUCUACCUCACUAACUUUAACGAUAUUUACCAACAAUAAAUCAUUUUUGGAUUUCAACGGUAUUUUGUCAUUUGUAUAAGUUCUAAACAUUUUACACAUUAGCUUGAAUAUGAGAUUGAAAUUGAAAGAAUGAAACUUUCUAUAAAAGUUGAGAUGGAAAACAUCUUUAAUCCUUACAUUUAUAUUUAUACGAAAAAAUACUUAAUACCACCUUUGGUUUUAUAUAUAAAAGAACAAAGACAACCUAAUAGAAAGUUAAAAUGUUUGAAUUUAUACAAAAAUGGUGCUAUAUUCCAAAAUUAUGGUUCAAGAUUACAUUUUUUAAGCUCUUGAAACUCACCAAACAAAGAAGAAAAAAAAGCAAAAAAACAAUAUCCUCAUAUUUUCUUCUAAAAUGUUGGGCCAAACAGAUAAACUUUAGCAAUAAUUUUAGCAUAUAAACUUUAGAUAAAAGAGAAAGAGAACAAAAAGAGAGUCAAAAUCUAAGCAAUCCAACCUCAUUUCAACAUUUAUAAAACUUCAGAUUCAACCAAGAACUUAGCUAAUACAAGAUAAAAAAGAAUGGGAAAUAGAAUGGUAUACUCAGAUGACAAUGGAGAUUAUUAGGUUCGAUUCUGACAGUAAAGUCUCCUCAAUAGAUUUCAGAAGAGGAAGCUCUUUAUCCUCAUUGUAACCCUUCAAGUUCCCAAGAAAAAACUCAAUCGCUCUUUAUACGAAAGUGUAAAAGGAAAAAAACAAAUUUUUCUUGAAGAGUAAAUGGAAACGAGAGAGAAAGACAGAUUCGAAAAGAUCAAUUCUGCAUUCCAAUCUAUUGAGCUUGAUCUUUCAUGAAAUCAUCAAAGCCACUUGUUGUAUAUAAAACCAACAAAGGAAAAUCCAAAGGAAUCCAACCCGUAUGCAUCCUGAACUCGUUAUAUGGUAUGCGACGCGACUGGAGCAACCCCAACACCUCAAAGGAAACGCCAGAAUGCUCAUCAACUUAACUCUUUAAAAAAAAAAUGUACUUUAAAAUUUAGGCGACAAUAACAUCUUAACGCAGUGGAUUGAGUUAAACAACUUCUUUAUUAAUUCAUCUUCAUGCACUCUACAAUACAAUUUACACGCUCCUUAAAUAUAACAAAUAUAUAACAAUAAUCUUAAAACGCCUUGCACAGCUUCACAAUAUGGUAGUUCGCCCUCCUUAUUCCAACCUUGGCCUUACAAGCUGGUGACCUAAGGAAGGAAAAACUUUAAAACGUACGUAAAAACUUAAUGAGUGAUAGUUUUGGAAAACCUUUUUGGACAUAUAAAUACAUGAAAUUAUUUUCAUAAACACGACUUUCAUCACCUCAUUUCAUAAAACAGAAAUACUCAUUAGUCCUUCAUAUUCCUUUCCACCAAGAACAUGAACCAUUCUCAUGCAUAGAUUACUGUGAUGUCCUUUUCAUCAACAUCAUCCUUUGGAGAAUAUAUAUCCUAAUUCAUUUCUCGUUGCUCAAGCCGCUAAGCUCAAUAUGCUCAUUUUACGCAUCGGCCAACUUCACUCCACUAUGCAGUUCUUUUCUACAUGGUUGUCUUUGCUCCUUACGUCCACAUAAUAGUUAGUCCAUUGAGAGGAAUAAGACUAAUGCACACAACAUAGCACACAAUCAAUAACAAUAGGUUUACUUGAAACAAAACACAACUUUCUUAGAAAUCGUUUAUUUCAUAUGAAACGUUACAAGUCAGCUAGAAAUUAUAAGAAAGCUUUAAAAUCUUUAAACAAAAUCAUUCACAACACAAAUUCUGUCUUUAAAACGUGUGGAUUCCCAAAGACAUUAUUCUCGCCUAGUGAGUUUCCUCUUAGCAGAAUAAGUUCAAAUAUUUCAACAAAAACCCUUUUUACCAUAAACCUUUGUUCUUAUUUAUACUAAUCCCAACUUGGAUUGGUCAUCACUAAUUUCUUUAAGCUUGACAACUCCUACUUAAAGUAAUCCAUAUGCUUUUCAAACCAUGUGGAUUAGCUUAAGUACCAUUAGAAAAUUUUCCAAAAAUUUCCUAACUCUUCAACAUCUGAUCUUAUCUCACGCUUUUCCCUCAAAAUGCCUAUCAUCCCUUACUUGCAGAUUCUUUCCUCAUGCUAAGAUCUUCAUAAUGCGACUUAUCAAAACACCUAUUUUAUAAAGAUUUCUUCCUAUAUCAAAAUCCUUUAUUUAUUGGUCAUGUUGAUGAAAAGGAACGAGAAAUGUGAGACAGCUUUUAAGCGUCAAGUAAAGCUAGUUUUGUAGUAGUGAUGACUUCCAACAUUGCGUAGAUCCUUCCACAUAUGAGUUUCAAUUGCCAUCAUUUUCUGUUUUUCUGAUAUUUUCUUUAUUGUUUUCUUUUUCUCUGCUUUGAUAUUUGCUAGUCUUUUCUCCUCUUUUUCUCUAUUUGUUUUUAAUGAUUCAAUAAGUGUUUGUUGCAAUGUUCUAACCUACAGAUGUCCACUAGAUGGAACAGGAAUGAGGGGAUGUCACUCCCUAUCCCCGUCCCUACAAAUUUCUUUUCCCUCGUCCCCAUCUGCACCCCCUAUUCCAUUCCCCAUUCCCCAUUCCCACAAAUUUUCCCAUGGGAAAAUAUUUCCCGCUUUUAUGUUUUUAUAAAUAAAUAGAAAUAAAAAUAAAUAUAGAGGUCUUUUAAAAAAAUAAAUACUUACAUUGUAUAGAAAAAUUUUGAAAAUGAAAAAAGCUCAAAGGUCCACAAUAUAAAGUACUAAAACUACUUCAGUCAAGACAUGACAAAUUGGUCACAUGUGCAUGAUACACGAUUGUGUAGAUUUUAAUACAAGAUCUUAGGCAUACCAUAUCUCAAGAUGCCCCUAGAUGAAAGAAUUAUUCCUUUAGUUAUUGUACCUCUGGCCUUAGUUGCACUGAGAUGGUCUAAAAUGUUAGAAUUCUGUCUUUAUUUUUUGAUCUUAGGCAUACAUUAUCCUGAGAUGCCUGUAUGUCUCAGGAUGAAAGACUUCUAGCUUUAGUUAUUCGAUCUCGAACAUACAUUGCCCUGAGUUGACUCAGGAUGAAGGAAUUCUUCCUUUAUUUUAUUCAAUCUCAGGCGUACAUUGUCUCAAGAUGUCUUGAGAUGAAAGACCUCUGCCUUUAAUUAUUCGAUCUUGGCCUUAAUUGCAUCAAGAUGACCUGAAAUGAAAGAGUUCUGCCUUUAUUUUAUUUGAUCUUGCCUCGAAAUGUCAUCGAAUGAAAGUUUUUUGUCUUUAGUUAUUCGAUCUCGGGCCUUAAUUGCACCGAGAUGGCCUGGGAUUAAUAGAAAUAUACAUGUGUGUGUGUGCGUUUUUUUCUUUCGAGGCAGGGUCGCGACCAGGUUCCGAGAAUGUAUUCCCCAUCCUUAGUCGUGAAUUGUUAAUAAAAAAAAAAAAAAAUCCUUAGUGCCUCUCCCAUUUUCCUCCUCGUUGUUGUACCUCUAACAAUACUUCAUUAAAAAAAAACACUAUUAAAUUUGAUGUUCCAAGAUGAGCAAUGGCUUUGUAAAAAUUGUUAGGAUCUCAACCUAACAAGAGAUACUCAAGAACACACAAACGGAACUCAAGAACAAUCAAUUAUGAAAAGCAUAUUUGAAAUAAAUGUUAUAACAUCAAAGAACAAGUAACUUGCUCUUUGCGAGGACUAGACUCUCCCAAAUCCCCCACAAGAAAAUUGAUCCACACAUAAAAUUCUUCAUACUCUUUCCCAAUCCCUCUCCUUGAUCUACAAUCCCUCUCCUUGAUCUAUUUAUACUAAAAAAGAACUAACUAACUUUCUAACUAUUUACUAAUAUAUAUGUUCCCAACUAAUAACCAUAUUAAUUUUCAACUGAAUAUUCCUUUUAUUCUUUAACUAGGGAUCUCACAUCUUCUUACCAAAUGGCUAGGUCCCUACUAGCUAACUAUAUUAAUUUACAUCAUGUAAUUUAGAAUCAUUCUUUUAGCUGCUUAGGUGAAGGAUAUUAUCGAGGCCAACUAGACUAGCUUUUUUGGGUGCUUACAAAUAUCUUAAGGUGUCAUUUCGGACUUAAAUGUAAUUUAGGCUGAAUGUGCAUUUAUAUUUAUCAAUAAUCAAACUUUAUGUCCUUAAUUCUACUUGUUGGGGAUUUUUGAACAUUCAUAAUCUAGAUAUAUAAUCGAGGCAUUACAAAACACAUGCAAUCAUGUUAUGUCAGAUCAUCAUACUCGUACCAAAGUUUAAAUACAAAUAACAAUUUUCGACUUUUGUAAGAAUGCAAGAGAUAUAUAUUGCACACUCAUGCCACUUGACAAGCGUUUCUUAACUAAUAUACUAUUUCUUAUGGAAAAUCUCUUAGCACACUCAUUUUGAGAUGUUUGCCCUCACUAGGUGUGUAAUCGGGUUGGGUUGGGAGACAUUCUCAACCCAACCCAUACUUUUGGGUUAUAUGGGUUGGCAACCCGAAUUUAGUUUCCAACUCAAUCAGUAAAAAUAUGGGUUAGGUUGGGUUAUGUUGUUUUUUUUUUUUUUCUUUCUUCGUUUCUACUUUCUAACGAAAACGAAGGUGGAUGGCACGAUUGUGAGGGAGAAGACCGAAGAGGGAGAAGAUCGACCGUCGAAAAUGGAGGUGGACAACGAGAUUGUGAGGGAGAAGACAGAUGACUGAGGUGAGAUGGAAGAGAAGAAUCGAACACAAUGAAAAAGGGUGAACAGGACGCAAGGGAAAGAAAAUUGAAGAGGGAGGAAGACCUUAAUUUUUAGAUUUUAUUUUAUUAAAUAAAUAAUAUAUAAAUAUGAAUAUAUAUACAUAUAUUAUAUUAAUUUAGGUUGGGUUGGGUUGACCCGAAUUUUUCAAUCGUCCAACCCAAGACCCAACCCAACCCGAAAAUAUUAAUUUUUUUUAAUCCAACCUAACCCUUACAAUAUGGGUUGGGUAGUACGGAUUAUCUGAAUUCAACCCAUAUUUUUACACCUCUAGUCUUCACCGUGGAUGAUCAUUUUCACCACGGUGGCUCAUUAGACCAUAGAGCAAGUUAUGGCUUAUGGCGGUAGAGAGAGCCAACACAAUGUAUUUCCCUUUAGAUCAUUUCAAGGUACAAAGUUGGUUUCAGCCCUCAAAUGUUGUGAGGAGUCACUCACUAGUGUGAAUACCACAUUUGAACUAUGAUUAAAAAAUUGAUGUGGUUGCUUUCUUCACUCAUGUGUCGUCAACUCUAGAUUCACCCGUCCAAACUUCUAACAAAACUCUGACUUUUAGGAGAGAAAUGACCCUAAGGAUAUCAGGAGGAGUGAAGAAGAAAAAGAAUAUAGAAAUGAGUAAAACAAUAAUAAACAACUAUAGAGGCAAUAGUGCAAGUAAUAAGGAAUACAUAUAUUACUUUGUACGUGACACGGAAGAAAUUAUAAAGUACUGUUGAGAGAAGCAGCCUAUUGCUAUAGUAGAAUUGAGACAUGUUACACCAAAUUCUUAUACUUAUAUUAACUAAUUUUAUCCGUGUAAAGUUAUAUAUUUGACAAAUGUGAUGUGAUAUUUGUGUGUACAUUGAGGGCAGUGCCCACUUUUCCUGAACACAUAAAUAAUGUUAAGUGAACAAUUGUAUGUAACUAGUCGUACCAUAUUAGACAUACACUUUUUAUAUUAUUAUAAGUAAAAAAAUAUCAUAAUUAAAGCUAAAUUUAACCUCUAAAUCGAAGUUUUGUGACUAAUAAAUCUCAAAUUUGUAAAUAAAUGUUAGAUAAAUAUUCUUGAUUUUUAAUUUUGUAUAUCUUUUGACGAGUACUACAACUGAACAUUUUAAACUUUGUAUAUCAUAAAUCACGAAUCAUGAUAUAAAGGAUAUAAUAUAUUUUUUUAAAGAGGUAUUUAAUGUUCCAUAUUGGUAAAUGUAUAUCAUUUUGUAACGAUGUUUAAUAAUCUCGAUAAAAAUUAGAUUUUUUUCAAUAGCUACUAUAAAUAUAUAUCUUUCUAAACGGUCUUUAAUAAUCUAAUUUCAAAGGUUACGUUCAACAAAUAUCUAUUCUUCAACUUUAUAUUUAAUAUAUUAUUCAUAAAUUAAAAAAACAAAACAAAAGCUGAAUACAGUAUGGUAUUAUUAUAGACACGUUUUUAAAGAUCAAGUGCUCUAUUAGAAGUAUUUGAACACGUUUGGAAGACUUGGAACUGAGUUUGUAAGGAAAGAAACAAAGAAAGAAGAAAAACAAAUGGCAAAGAAGAUGAUGAACGUGGAAGAAACAUAGAAAUCUCCAUAGCCAUUAAAAGCCACACCAUACAACCUUCAAAAUUCCACGUCUCAUCCAUGCAUUGCUCUCUUAUUCCUUCAAAUACUCAUCCUUUCAGCCACCACUUUUCUCCCCUACUCUCCUCUUUAAACAUUAUACUCAAGCCCAUAUAAUGAUGUCUACUAAACCACUAGUUUCCAUCCUCCUCCUUUCCCUCUUCCUCUUCGCCGUUGCUGCCUCCGACCACCAGUUCGACGAUGACAACCAAAGCCAACGCCCUUGGUUGCAAAGGUGCCGUCAGCAGGUUCUCGCCUUUCCAGUUCUCUUUUAUUUAUAGUUUCAUUUAUUCGGUUAAUUGCUAUUUUUUAUUUUUAUUUGUAUUCGUUGGGAUGAGAACAUGCAUACAAUCCACCAACUAGUUUGCUUGUGUUUUUGUUAUUUUUAAACAAAUAACUACUUUACUUUAAUAUUGUUCAAAAUUAAUUAUUUUGGUAUUUUCUAUACUUUAUUUAAAUAUAUAUUUCAUAAAUUAUUUAGAUUUCAUUUGCUAUUAAUAACUAUUUGUUUUUUUGUUUUUAUUUUUAAAAGUUAAGCUUAUCUUUUCUCCAAUUUCUUACGUUAAAAUGUUGAAUUUUUAGCUAAAUACUAAAAACCAAAACUAGCUUAGAACUUUAUAUAUUUUCUUAACUUUCAAAAAACUAAAAUGGUUUUAAAAAAUAUUGGUGAAAAAAUAAAUAAUGAAAUUAUAAAUUUAGACAUGAAAGAAAGGUUAUUAUAAAAUUUUCAAAAAAUCUAAAAACAAAAAAACUAUGACUCCUUUUUUAACUAAAUUAUAUAUAUAUAUAUAUAUAUAUAUAUAUAUAUAUAACUUUUUAAAUACCAUACUAAAGUUAUAUUGGCAAAAAUGUACAAAAAAAAAAUAUCCAACCAAUGUAAGCAAAUCCAAACGUCACUUUUCAUAUAGAACCCAAGAUUACUUAAAUCCCAAACCCAAGAUUACUUAAAUCCCAAAUUUUGAAAACUAAGAAAACACAUAAAUUUAAAAAUAAUUUUGUUUUAAGAAUUUAACUAACAAUUCUUAACUCUUUGAAAAAGAGGAAAAAUAACUUGUUAUUCACCACACAAAUGUUUUAUUUUACUUUAUGUUUACCAACAAUCAAAUGUAACACCUACCAUGUCGCUAAAAAUGUGACAGAUUCGAAGCGGCGAACGGCUGCGCCACUGUGAGAGGUUACUGACACAGCCCCGCCGCUUCCGGCUGCUGUUAGCAGCGGAGGAAGAGGAAGACGCAGUGGAACAUCUGGAGGAAUGCUGCCAGCAGCUGAAAGGGAUGGACGAUGCAUGCCGGUGCGAGGGGCUUCGUCAGAUCGUGCAGCGCCGUAGGCAGCAAGGCCAGCUGCAGGGGGUCGAUGUUGGACAAAUGCUGGAAAGAGCUACAAACUUACCGUCGGUCUGCCGUCUCAGCCGACGCCGGUGUGACCUCCGAUCAACCACUCCAUUGUAGAAUAAGAGGAAAGAAAAGAGAGAGGAGAGAGAGAGCCCAUUGAGGUUGAACAAUCUGAAAAAUGGAGUAAUAAUCAAUAAAAUAUGAAGGCUCCCCAACUUAGAGGGAGAUCUGUGUACUAAUGUUUUAAAGAAACAUCACUUAGUUUCUUUUUUUUCUUUCUUCUUUCUUUCUUUUUAUUUUUAUUUUUGGUUUAGUUUUCUUUUCUUUACCUUUUUUUCUUGGGGUUUUUGUUUUGUUCUGUGUGCUGAAAUCGAAAUAAAUCAAAAUAAGUCUUAGACUCUACUGGGAAUAAAUAUCGUUGAAUCUUAAUUAUUUAGUUUACUUCUUUUAAUUUGGUUGAAUCUUAAUUAUUUUUGUUUACUUCAUUUAAUUCAUCUCUUUCAAACUAUUUUUUCUAAUUUUAAAUAUCAAGUAACUAUUUUUUUUAAAAUCAACAUACUCGGGUUGAGUUGAGUUGGAGAACGUUUUCAACCCAACCCAUAUUUUCAAGUUGGUUGAAUU